RNAcentral lists this ribosomal RNA (772 nucleotides) under uncultured Chloroflexota bacterium. RNAcentral's name for it is "bacterial SSU rRNA". It matches the Rfam family "Bacterial small subunit ribosomal RNA", at positions 9 to 795 of the family's 1533-position model. The record is from RNAcentral. Lineage: Bacteria; Bacillati; Chloroflexota.
GAGUUUGAUCCUGGCUCAGGACGAACGCUGGCGGUGCGCCUAAUGCAUGCAAGUCGAACGGGCAAAGGGGCUUCGGCCCCCGAGCUAGUGGCAGACGGCUGAGUAACACGUAAGUGAUCUGCCCCAGAGAGGGGGAUAAGCCGGAGAAAUCCGGUCUAAUACCCCGUACGCUCUCUAAGUUACGGCGUAGAGAGGAAAGGCUCCGGCGCUCUGGGAGGAGCUUGCGGCCUAUCAAGGUUGUUGGUGGGGUAAAAGCCUACCAAGCCGAAGACGGGUAACCGGUGUGAGAGCACGAUCGGUCAGAGGGGGACUGAGACACGGCCCCCACUCCUACGGGAGCAGCAGCAGGGAAUCUUGCGCAAUGGGCGAAAGCCUGACGCAGCGACACCGCGUGGGGGAUGAAGGCUUUCGAGUUGUAAACCCCUUUUCUCUGGGGAUGAGAAAGGACAGUACCCGGGGAAUAAGGUUCGUGCUAACUACGUGGCAGCAGCCGCCGGUAACACGUAGGAACCGAGCGUUGUCCGGAUUUACUGGGCGUAAAGUGCGCGUAGGCGGUCCGUUAAGUCUCAUGUGAAAUCUCCCGGCUCAACUGGGAGAGGUCAUGGGAUACUGGCAGACUGGAGUACAGCAGAGGGGAGCGGAAUUCCCGGAGUAGUGGUGGAAUGCGUAGAUACCGGGAGGAACACCAGAGGCGAAGGCGGCUCCCUGGGCUGUAACUGACGCUGAGGCGCGAAAGCGUGGGUAGCAAACCGGAUUAGAUACCCUGGUAGUC